AAACCAUGAUGUGGAUAGCUCCUCAGUAAAUCCUUGAAACAUUCCCAGCAAUCAUACAGAGUCUCAUUCUCUUGCUGAAGAAACCCUGCUAUAUCAUUCCUUAACUU
Non-coding RNA from Ricinus communis (castor bean), 107 nucleotides. The record is from Rfam. NCBI's taxonomy places the organism in Eukaryota, Viridiplantae, Streptophyta, Magnoliopsida, Malpighiales, Euphorbiaceae.